Molecule: ribosomal RNA, 786 nt
Filed under: uncultured archaeon
Lineage: Archaea
Description: bacterial SSU rRNA
Rfam family: Archaeal small subunit ribosomal RNA
Source: RNAcentral
ACGGCUCAGUAACACGUGGACAACCUACCCUAUGGAGGGGGAUAACCCCGGGAAACUGGGGAUAAUACCCCAUAGACUAUGAAUGCUGGAAUGCUUUGUAGUUGAAAGGUCCGCCGCCAUAGGAUGGGUCUGCGGCCGAUUAGGUUGUUGUUGGGGUAACGGCCCAACAAGCCUGUAAUCGGUACGGGUUGUGGGAGCAAGAGCCCGGAGAUGGAUUCUGAGACACGAAUCCAGGCCCUACGGGGCGCAGCAGGCGCGAAAACUUUACAAUGCGGGAAACCGUGAUAAGGGAACUCCGAGUGCCCGUAAAAUCGGGCUGUCCAUCUGUUUAAAUAACAGGUGAAGAAAGGGCCGGGCAAGACCGGUGCCAGCCGCCGCGGUAAUACCGGCGGCUCGAGUGGUGGCCACUAUUACUGGGCUUAAAGCGUUCGUAGCUGGUCUGUUAAGUCUCUGGGGAAAUCUACUGGCUUAACCAAUAGGCGUUUCAGGGAUACUGGCAGACUAGGGACCGGGAGAGGUGAGGGGUACUCCAGGGGUAGGAGUGAAAUCCUGUAAUCCUUGGGGGACCACCUGUGGCGAAGGCGCCUCACCAGAACGGCUCCGACAGUGAGGGACGAAAGCUGGGGGAGCAAACCGGAUUAGAUACCCGGGUAGUCCCAGCUGUAAACGAUGCAGACUCGGUGAUGGACUAGCUUUAUGCUAGUCCAGUGCCGCAGGGAAGCCGUUAAGUCUGCCGCCUGGGUAGUACGGUCGCAAGACUGAAACUUAAAGGAAUUGGCGGGGGAG